UCCGCUGAGGAAAAGGUACUCCCGGGUUCUGCGAAGUUAGAGACUGUGACAGAUUUGAGAAGACGGAACUGAAGAACUGGUCGGUUCAAACGUGGGUAGUUUACAUCAGAGACUUCAGAGCCAGAUGUUCUGGACCCCCCAGGGUUCAGUGUCCCCGUUAUCCAGACGGGAAGAUGUGUCUGAGGACCACAUGGAUAUGUAUCAGCAGAACUGUGUUCAUUAGACGGUCAUUUACCUCAUGUUGCAGGAUGAAUGAUUAGCAGAAGACAUGGUUUGUGGUUUGAAAGAAAAUGGCACCUAUGGGCUCAGAAAAUGGCACUAUUAGGAGGCGUGGCUGUGCUGGAACAGGUGUUUCUGGCUAUGAGACAUGUCAGCUCCAGGCAGCAUCCUAUUCGACUUGCAAGAAGAUGUUGAGCAUCGAAGAACUUCCUUUAGAAAAUGGCUCCGAAAGUGGCAAGCUGCCACUGAGCAAGGAAAUGCCUUCGCUUCAACUGCAGAUAGAAUGCUGUCCAAAAUAGAUAAAAUUUGGAUGCAGGCAAAGUUGACUGCCAAGCUCUGUCAAGACAAGGUGUGGAACAAGACCCUCCUAUGGCAUCUUGAGAACCCAAGCUGUCUGACUGGGGAGAUAGACAGCGUCUUUGAGCCAGAACAACAUGAAUAAGCUACGUGAUUGCCUGACCCCCUUAAAAUGGGUGAGACAGUGUUUACUGGCUGGCCCAAUGGGAGUCUUCACGUUUAAAUCUGGAAAUCUGCUGCUGCACACAGUGCUCACCAGGGGGCAACAGGAGUCCAAGGAGAAAAGCAAAGAGAACCGUGUUCCUUGCCCCGAAGUGUGCGUUCACAAACCCAUCUCCAUCCCAUCACAGAUAUCUUGAAGCAGAAAGGAGGAGCAGGAGAGGAGGAAGAAGAGCAGAUGGUCACAGUUGCCUGUUCCCCACCCAUCCCUUUCCCACCCCCAUCCCCUUCCCACCCCCAUCUCCCAUUCCUGAAAGUGAGAAAAAAGGAGGAAAUGGGAUUAACAAUGUUCUGAUGUUUUUCAUUGUUCCUAGAACCAGACA
Molecule: long non-coding RNA, 1058 nt
Organism: Psammomys obesus (fat sand rat)
Lineage: Eukaryota; Metazoa; Chordata; Mammalia; Rodentia; Muridae
Exons: 4
Source: RefSeq, a predicted model, not a curated record